Long non-coding RNA from Mustela putorius furo (domestic ferret), 2028 nucleotides. The record is from Ensembl. Lineage: Eukaryota; Metazoa; Chordata; Mammalia; Carnivora; Mustelidae.
GGUUGUGUGCUCCUGCUCAUGAUGUGAAGUUUCUCAGUGGAAAGCACCAGCUUAUAGAACUGCUAGUUAGCUGUCCAAGCUCGGGGACCUGGUCUCUGCCAAUACUGCAGGAGACACCCACUGCCGCCGUGCCUCUCUAAGACUGCCAUCCUCAACAUCGCUGAGCUCAAAUAAAUCAAAAUCCUCGGAGGGGAGUGGGCGGAAGGAAGGGACAAUGCUAGGCUACAAGUCAUAUGUGUCACACACCUGUCAGGUGGACAGGAUCGCUGCAUCCACAUUACAGAUGAGAAACCCAAGGCCAUGAUCUUAAUGCUUAUGCAACACUGCCCUUCACCUUUGAUCCAGAAGAAUUCUGGAGAAGCAGGAAAGAAACACUCUGUAGAAAAAUGGCACCUGGAAAAAGAAGCAGGCACCUCAUCAAAUAUUAUUCUCAAAAAGUGAAUGCGUAGUUUGGAGAGGGCCGGGCAUGCUCUUUGUCUGGUCUCCCCUAAGGAUGCAGCAUCCCUAGGAAGCUGCACUGGUCAGAACUUUGCCAAAGAACAAGACCAGGAAAAUCCAUGUCCACGCUUAACCGCAGGGCCUGGUGCUCCUUCUCCCUUCCUCCCCCAGAGAUCUGGGAACAGUGGAAAAAUCCUACAAGCGGAUCGACCUUUCAGCAGAAAGGCAGCCUUGAGGGAGACAACAAGGCAGAGCAUCGUGCCUCGCCCGGAAGGCUCAGGAAGACUGCCCUUGGCGUGAAGGGAGCCUUGCAUCUGAAUUCCCCUGCAGCCAUCUGGCCACUAGAUAAGAAGUCCCUCCAGGACAGGGACUGCGUCUCGGGCAUCACUCUCCCCAGGAGGAAAGAAAUAGAGAAUGGGAAAGAGAAAAAAGAAAGCUGACCUAAAGCAAACCCGAACCCACCAUUUUCUCUAAUUUUUUAAAAACUUAAGGACAAUGUCAGGAGGAAGUAUAGCCCUGGGGAACUGCUGGUGCUUCACAUUUUUAGAACCUUCUCUUUUAUGUUACUUUUCUUUGGGGCAUCACCAUGCUCACCCUGUCAAAACACACCCCACUUCUUGUUCAGGAUUUUCUAUUUAUUACACAACGACCGGCUUGCUGUGUUGAAUGCUUAUGGGACUCUAUUUUAGUACCACUUACAGAGUUUUUAGUAAUCCCCUAGUUUAUUUGCUUUUCUUGUUGAAUGCUCUUUAGAACGUGUUUUGAAAUACGAGGUUGGGGACUUUGUGCAUGAGAAAUAAUUACGAUACCACUUAUUCCAGGGUAGAAGCAGGCCUCAGCAGUCUGCUGGUAUUCCUAAAUCCAGAACCUGUCAUUUUCCCUGGAAUUGUUAACAUACUGGGCACCGCUGUUGUGAGAUGCUCUGAAAUGCUCGACUCAUCAGGAACUUUAAGAUCUGGAGGCUGUGCUUUAUUUUUCAUGAUGUGAAUGUUCGUGCAUGUGACUACUUAUGAAUAUUGUGGAGCUGAUGCUGAGAGUUUAUUCAAAUGUGCUUAUAAAGAAUGUUUGGUCCACUUAUUUUUGUUAAAGACAGUGAUUCUCACUGAUAAGACUUACCAAUUACAAGUAUAUGAAAUAGGCAGGUUUGAAAUGAUUUAAGUAAAAUUUAAUUUAUGGUCAGUGUGAGGGCCUAUUUAGCCAGAGCGAUUCCAUCCAGUUAAACAGUGGUUUUGUUGUUUAUGCAGUAAAACUUAAACUGACCCUGCCCGCCCCCAACCCCAGGGAACUUACUUAAAAGCAAGUCCAGGAAACUAGUCCCAGGUAACAAAGCCCAAAUACAAUGGCGGGGCAGGCCAGGUGGAGACAUCCAAUCAGUGGGGUGCAUACUGUCUCCCUAGCUACCAAGGAGUGUGGGUCCCACCUUUUGGGCGCCAGUUCUGACCAAGGGGAUAGGCUUGUUCAAAUAUCUACUAUGGGGUAAACUGUAAUUCAAUUAGCCCCCUCCCCCCCCUCCCCGUGUGUGACCUAGCAUGACUGUGCAGCUUUCUCUGUGUGUUNNNNNNNNNNNNNNNNNNNNCAAAACCGCAGCCG